AAAUUGCCUUAUGAAUUGAGAAGAAAUCAUUUAAGUGUUUAACACGUUUUGUUCCACGUGGAGCUUUGUUUUUUGACAAAACGUGGCACGGAACGUGUUAACAUGGAUUUUAGGACCUUUUUGUUGUCAUACCGCGUACGAGUCAUCGUGGAAGCAUUUAAACGAAAGAAAAAGUGUUUGAUACCAGUUCCACGGCCAUGGUGAUAUCUUUAAAUGUCCCGAGCGUGGAAGAUGCUCGUGUAGCAACCGUCUCUCAUGAAAUAUGGAGAAUAGCAAGGCACUUUGUGGAUACGAAGGCAACGCCUCCAAAAUACGAGGUGGAUGUUUCUUCACCGUUUGGUUGUGAAAGGAACUUUUGUUGAGCGAAUUUUCUUCUGCCAUCCAACCAGGACGACUAGUUCUACCGAUUUAAAGCGUUCAAUUGGAGAUGACCAGCACCGAUUGGUAUGCAAUCUUCAGAACCACCUGACUUACUGAUGCGAUUAUUUAGCUCUGCAAGAUCAGGCUUGGAAGGCACAAUGGUAUAAGGCGUAUUAUCCUUUGGUACCAAGGAAGGUGGCGGAAGCGGUAUGUGCGGG
Molecule: long non-coding RNA, 578 nt
Organism: Osmia bicornis bicornis
Lineage: Eukaryota; Metazoa; Arthropoda; Insecta; Hymenoptera; Megachilidae
Exons: 4
Source: RefSeq, a predicted model, not a curated record